Molecule: non-coding RNA, 156 nt
Filed under: Reyranella sp. CPCC 100927
Lineage: Bacteria; Pseudomonadati; Pseudomonadota; Alphaproteobacteria; Hyphomicrobiales; Reyranellaceae
Description: 6S RNA
Rfam family: 6S / SsrS RNA
About the family: E. coli 6S RNA was the first non coding RNA to be sequenced, but its function was unknown until recently. It consists of 184 nucleotides that fold into an extended hairpin structure with a large single-stranded internal bulge. The 6S RNA specifically associates with RNA polymerase holoenzyme containing the sigma70 specificity factor.
Source: RNAcentral
GGAUGUCUGCGUGGUGCGUGAGCCGCACUGAACCCUGGGGCCAAUGCUCUCCUCUAGGGAGCUGUUCCUGGCCUUGAUCCUGGUCUCGGCCACACGGUGCCCACCUGCGUUUGCAGGCCACAGAGGUUAGACACGGCGCACGGCCAACGUGGUGCC